Long non-coding RNA from Oreochromis niloticus (Nile tilapia), 383 nucleotides. RefSeq lists it as uncharacterized. Lineage: Eukaryota; Metazoa; Chordata; Actinopteri; Cichliformes; Cichlidae. The record is from RefSeq and is a predicted model, not a curated record. The annotation marks the transcript as partial. The transcript is spliced from 3 exons.
CAACUGUUUCUGCAGUGUCUCUUUCUGUCGGUCCAAACCUUCAGCAGGUCUUCAGAGGAUCUUUAGUGGAUCUGAGUUGUGUUGAUGAUGGACAGACAGCUGAUGGAUGGACAGUGAAGAGGACCAGAGGAGGACUCACUGAGGACUGUGGAGCAGCUCCAGGCUUUGGGGGGCUUCUUGGUUCCUACUGUGUUGUGGAUCUUUCUGCUCCCAGUGAAACCUUCUGGUGUGAGGACUCCUCUAGACAGCAGAGUGACAACGUCUCCUUCAGUGUCCAAUCAGACACUACAGAUAAAGGUGUCAUCCUGGAGAUCCCUGCACUUCCUGUGAGGACAGGAAGUGAUGUCAUUCUGCGCUGCAGACAGAGGAAUGGUGCCACAGUC